AGGGCACCACCAGGAGUGGAGCCUGCGGCUUAAUUUGACUCAACACGGGGAAACUCACCCGGCCCGGACACCGUGAGGAUUGACAGAUUGAUAGCUCUUUCAUGAUUCGGUGGUUGGUGGUGCAUGGCCGUUCUUAGUUGGUGGAUCGAUUUGGCUGGAUUAUUCCAAUAAACAAGAAAAUUGUAUAUUACUAAAUAGGCGACUCUUGUAGUGACCCGGGCUGCUCUUCUUAGAGGACAGGCGGCGAUUCGGAACAGAAACAGAGCGGAACGGGACUGUGAUGCCCUUAGAUGUCCGGGGCCGCACGCGCGCUACACUGAAGUGAUCAGAGAGCAUUACAAACCUGCUCCGUCAGGAGUGGGGAACCUAAUGAACCUUCGUCGUGAUUGGGAUGGGGGAUUGUCAUUAUUCCCCUUGAACGAGGAAUUCGCAGGAAGUGCGAGUCCUACGCUCGCGUUGAUUACCUCCCUGCCCUUUGUACCCACCGCCCGUCGCUACGAAUGAUUGAAUGAUUUAUUG
This 519-nucleotide ribosomal RNA is filed under the name uncultured eukaryote. Its description in RNAcentral is "bacterial SSU rRNA". It matches the Rfam family "Eukaryotic small subunit ribosomal RNA", at positions 1161 to 1703 of the family's 1831-position model. The record is from RNAcentral.